AUGGCCGAAAGCCUCAGGUUUCUGGAGGAAGGUUCGUCCGCUCCAGGUUAGUCGGGAGCUAAGGUGAGGCCUAACGGCGUAGCCGAUGCACAGACGGUAGAGAUUCCGUCACCACCAAAAGAGUUAAGCACAGGGACACAUUUGAAGUCUCGGAGCCGGGUGUUGGUUCCGGUAGCGAUCGAGGGAAAUUAGUACCGAAGUCCGGGAUGGAAGAUGGCGAGAAAAGCUGUGUGUAUUUCUGCGGUGCCCGUACCGCAAACCGACACAGGUAGGUAGGAAGAAGAUUCUAAGGCCAACGGGAGAAGGGUUGUUAAG
Molecule: ribosomal RNA, 315 nt
Filed under: Faecalibacterium prausnitzii
Lineage: Bacteria; Bacillati; Bacillota; Clostridia; Eubacteriales; Oscillospiraceae
Description: partial 23S ribosomal RNA
Rfam family: Bacterial large subunit ribosomal RNA
Source: RNAcentral